This 39-nucleotide non-coding RNA is filed under the name Trypanosoma lewisi. The record is from RNAcentral. Lineage: Eukaryota; Euglenozoa; Kinetoplastea; Trypanosomatida; Trypanosomatidae.
ACAAACAUGCAUACGAGAACUACGGUAAAUAUAAUGGUG